Molecule: ribosomal RNA, 253 nt
Filed under: uncultured bacterium
Lineage: Bacteria
Description: partial 16S ribosomal RNA
Rfam family: Bacterial small subunit ribosomal RNA
Source: RNAcentral
UACGUAGGGUGCGAGCGUUAAUCGGAAUUACUGGGCGUAAAGCGUGCGUAGGCGGUUGCGCAAGACAGGUGUGAAAUCCCCGGGCUUAACCUGGGAAUUGCAUUUGUGACUGUGCGGCUGGAGUGCGGCAGAGGGGGAUGGAAUUCCGCGUGUAGCAGUGAAAUGCGUAGAUAUGCGGAGGAACACCGAUGGCGAAGGCAGGCCCCUGGGCCUGGACUGACGGUUCUGCACGAAAGCGGGGGGAGCAAACAGG